RNAcentral lists this unclassified non-coding RNA (275 nucleotides) under Ascobolus sp. RNAcentral's name for it is "partial internal transcribed spacer region". The stretch from base 1 to 46 matches the Rfam family "Eukaryotic small subunit ribosomal RNA", at positions 1786 to 1831 of the family's 1831-position model. The record is from RNAcentral. Lineage: Eukaryota; Fungi; Ascomycota; Pezizomycetes; Pezizales; Ascobolaceae. RNAcentral also lists the same sequence under 1 other name.
AAGUCGUAACAAGGUUUCCGUAGGUGAACCUGCGGAAGGAUCAUUAAAAAACUAUGCACAGUGAACAUGUCGUCUCCGUAAUGGCAUGGGAUCUGAUGUUGUAUUUAACCACCUGUUUACCUUUACCUGUUGCUUCCGUGGAAUUACGGGUGCUCUUCCUGUUCGCAGGCUUGAGUUACCUUCCACGGGUGUAUUUAAAAAAUUGUUUUGUACUAUUGUCUGAUAUAAAAUUUUAAUUAAAGUUAAAACUUUCAACAACGGAUCUCUAGGUUCUC